UGCUUGUUGCUGACCAGAGGAGCGCAUGCGUGAAGCUUUUCGUUGAGCCGCCAUUGACUCAGUGAGUGGAAGAGGUUUGUUUGAAACAGGCCGCAAUGGAGAGACCAGCGCCCAGGGAAGCGAAGGAACAGCAGGCUCCUUCCAGCAGCGCAUCGAGAUGCAAUUAUCUGAUGUGUCAAGACAAUGUCACAUUUCCGUGGUGCAACACCAAGUGUGACUAGCUGCUCCUACUAACAGCAGGCAAAUACAUGAAGGACCAAGACAAUGUAUCAUUUCCUUGGUGCAAAGCCAAGUGUGAGCAGCUGCUUCUCACAAACAGCAGUUAUGUUACAGCUGUCAGAAUGGAUCAUUUCCACAGACAAAGAGCAGUUUGAGUCAGAGACACGUUGAACUUAAUUUCCAGAGAAAUGCAUUCAAGCCAACAGUCAAAUACAAGCAACAAAAUACAA
Long non-coding RNA from Stegostoma tigrinum, 449 nucleotides. RefSeq lists it as uncharacterized. Lineage: Eukaryota; Metazoa; Chordata; Chondrichthyes; Orectolobiformes; Stegostomatidae. The record is from RefSeq and is a predicted model, not a curated record. The transcript has 3 exons.